Molecule: ribosomal RNA, 497 nt
Filed under: uncultured bacterium
Lineage: Bacteria
Description: partial 16S ribosomal RNA
Rfam family: Bacterial small subunit ribosomal RNA
Source: RNAcentral
GAUGAACGCUGGCGGCGUGCCUAAUACAUGCAAGUCGAGCGAACAGACGAGAAGAUUUCUCCUCUACCGUUAGCGGCUGACGGGUGAGUAACACGUAGAUCACCUACCUAUAAUACUGGGAUGACUUCGUGAAAAAGCUGCUACUAAUGGCGCAUACAUUGAACGGCUUAGAUCAAUAGUGCAUCACGGUUUUCCUGUUACUUUUAGCUGGAUCCGCAUCGCAUUAGCUAGUUGGUAAGGUAACGGCUCACCAAGGCGACGUUGCGUAGCCGACCUGAGAGGGUGAUCGGCCACACUGGAACUGAGACACGGUCCAGACUCCUACGGGAGGCAGCAGUAGGGAAUCUUGCGCAAUGGGCGAAAGCCUGACGGAGCAAUGCCGCGUGAGUGAUGAAGGUCUUCGGAUCGUAAAACUCUGUUAUUAGGGAAGAACAAAUGUGUAAGUAACUAUGCACGUCUUGACGGUACCUAAUCAGAAAGCCACGGCUAACUACGUG